This is a small nucleolar RNA of Hibiscus syriacus, 119 nucleotides long. RefSeq annotates it as small nucleolar RNA snoR126. NCBI's taxonomy places the organism in Eukaryota, Viridiplantae, Streptophyta, Magnoliopsida, Malvales, Malvaceae. The transcript has a single exon. The record is from RefSeq and is a predicted model, not a curated record.
UGGCAGUGAUGACAAGUUUACGUUUCUCGAUUCUGAACUGGUUUUCUAUUUCUUAAAUUUGUUUGAAUUUAAGGACCAAACAGCUCCCUGAUGACAGCGUUUGUGCGUGUCUGAGCCUU